This is a long non-coding RNA of Photinus pyralis (common eastern firefly), 960 nucleotides long. RefSeq lists it as uncharacterized. NCBI's taxonomy places the organism in Eukaryota, Metazoa, Arthropoda, Insecta, Coleoptera, Lampyridae. The record is from RefSeq and is a predicted model, not a curated record. The transcript is spliced from 3 exons.
CUGCGCAUGCGAAAGAAACGUCAAAGUUGCAAUGUUAUUAAUUAAAAUGUAGGUUAGGUUAUUGUUUUCAUCACAAGCUGGUAUCUGUUAUAAUGAAUAAACAUAUUCGUAAAUCGUAAUGUACAUUUAAACUCACAGACUUUUGACGUUGUUAUACCAAGAGCCAUGUUUCGCUGCGGCAGUAUAAAAUUCGAAAAGGACAGUAUAAGCCCCAUGUUCACAAAUCGUAACCCAAGACAUUUCAAAUACCUACGAAUCGCUAAUAAACCGGACGGCUACUACGGUGAUAAAACUGGAACGCUCCUACUGGCAUAAAUAUACAAAUUUGCAUUCCUACCGCCUCCAAUAAGACAGCCCGAUUGUAGAUGACAACCGACACAAACAGGCCGUCACGUAACUUCAUUGUUCGUGCAUUACAUCAACGGACCCGACACUCACCGCUAGCACGAAGGAAUGGGCCAUCAAAACCAGGCUGUAUAAGACCAUGCAUCAAGUCGUUGGCGUUUCAGUUCUUCGUACAAAGAUACCUUGCAAGCGGUCCGACAGAGUUUAUGUGCGAUUGCAAACCCGAACACAACGGCAGUAAGGUCACAAAGUUUCUAACGUGCUCCAAGAUUUCAAUUUGAAAUUGUCUGAACCGGAAUAGUCAAGAGAGCCGUGGACGAGAGAAAGAUUACCAAACCCGUGGGAUAUAAUCUGACUUGACAGAUAAUGUGAAUCGAUCUUAAAUUGUGGACCUAUUAGUUUCUGUAAAGAGAAGGCUGAGUAUUGGGUCGCUGCAAUGAAGUGAUAGAAAGCCCUACGUUCAGUCUGUCGAGAUGCUUCCCUGUUUCUAACUCAAAGGUUCUUCCAAAGAAGGUGCUUAUUACUAAUUUCUAGAUUGCAUGAAAAACCGUUUAUUUGAUUUUUUAAGAAGAAGUUAAUGGGUUUCAAGAACAAUAAAUUUGAUAAAUAUGUAAA